Molecule: ribosomal RNA, 253 nt
Filed under: uncultured bacterium
Lineage: Bacteria
Description: partial 16S ribosomal RNA
Rfam family: Bacterial small subunit ribosomal RNA
Source: RNAcentral
UACAGAGGUGGCAAGCGUUGUUCGGAAUUACUGGGCGUAAAGGGCGCGUAGGCGGCCUCGCAAGUCCCGUGUGAAAUCCCUCGGCUCAACUGAGGAAUGGCACGGGAAACUGCGGGGCUUGAGUUCGGGAGAGGGAAGCGGAAUUCCGGGUGUAGCGGUGAAAUGCGUAGAUAUCAGGAAGAACACCCGUGGCGAAGGCGGUUCUCUGGGACGGUACUGACGCUGAGACGCGAAAGCGUGGGGAGCGAACAGG